This 257-nucleotide ribosomal RNA is filed under the name uncultured bacterium. Its description in RNAcentral is "partial 16S ribosomal RNA". It matches the Rfam family "Bacterial small subunit ribosomal RNA", at positions 524 to 776 of the family's 1533-position model. The record is from RNAcentral.
UACAUGGGGGUGCAAACGUUGCUCGGAAUUAUUGGGCGUAAAGCGCACGUAGGCGGUUCGUUAAGUCGGAUGUGAAAGCCCUCGGCUCAACUGAGGAAGUGCACCCGAAACUGGCGAGCUUGAGUACGAAAAGAGGAUCGCGGAAUUCCCCGGUGUAGAGGUGAAAUUCGUAGAUAUCGGGAGGAACACCGGUGGCGAAGACGGCGAUCUGGGUCGAUACUGACGCUGAGGUGCGAAAGCGUGGGGGAGCAAACAGG